RNAcentral lists this long non-coding RNA (1345 nucleotides) under Homo sapiens (human). RNAcentral's name for it is "HSALNT0022929". The record is from RNAcentral. Lineage: Eukaryota; Metazoa; Chordata; Mammalia; Primates; Hominidae.
CUUUACUCUGCGGACUCACCCUGAAUUCUUUCUUGCGCGAGAUCCUAGAAUCCUCUCUUAGGGUGUGGAUCCGGACCCCUUUCCGAUCCCACUUCCUGUCCCACCCAGCCCCAAAUGUCCGUGGAACCGGCCCCACUAACCUGCAUCCAGCUGCCUCUUCCACCUGGGCCCUGCUCUCAGAUGGAAGUGUCACCAAACACCCAGAUCGCCGUGCUCCUGCUUCUCUGGAUGAAGUGAAGGAUGAAUAUUAUCCCAGGCUAAAGUAACGAAAAGUCCAGAAGCCAGCGAUGACAGAGAUGUGUGUGGAAGAAGGCUGUGAGCAUUUCCAUCAAACCCUGUGAGUUUCCGAAGAUCUUAUCCCGAAGAUAUGUGUUUGGCCAAUAAAACACUGAAUAAAAAUCCAUCAUGUUUCCAGAGCCAAGUCGACUUCUGCUGGGCUGGGGUGAGGCAGAGGCAGAAUCAGACCUUAUAAAGAUGUUUUGAAUAGCGGCUGUUCUGGGAUCGCAGCCCAGUGACAGUGAAUGCUUUCUGAGUUCUCGGAUGAGAAGGAACAGAGUGACAGACUGACCAUAACUGGCCACUGUGGUGUGUGCUCAGCUCCAGACCAGCACCUUAUUUGGUGGGGGGAGAGGGUUCAAGGCCCCAGCGAGACAGUGAGUCCUGGUAGGGAAGGAACUCUGGCCAAGCUGCAGGCUGUGCAGUGGAGUGGGUUAGGAGGGGCCCUCGGGGAGGGAAGAACAAGGAGAGAGGGAAGUGAGAGGAAAGGAGGUUUCUCCUUCAUCUAAAUCCCAAGUAUACACCCUUCUAAGGUCUGUUCUGGCCCUUCCCUAGGGAGUGCCUUCCCCUCUACCUGCCAGGUCCCAUAGAUAAGGAUGUCCUCCCCUGCAGGCGCCUGGCCUCCAUCACAGCAUGCCCACUCUGUGCCCGCUGCAACCUCCUCUGACUCUCCCACUAGACCGGUGCCUGGUACACAUGCUCCUGCGUGCAUGAACAUCGGUCAGCUAUGGGUCCUCAAGAUGACAAAACCCCCUGCUCCUGUGUCCUCACGGGGAUCUGCACCAGCACUGGGCUGAACACUCUCCCUGCAAUCUGUCAGUCACGUCUUCUGUAGCAUUUUCUUUCUGGCAACAACGGUUGGGGUCAUUAAAAGUGUCUUUGAAAUGCAACCUUUUAAUUACAGGAGGAAUACUGCCCCUGGGAAGGGGCCUUUCUUCAAAUGCUCCAGGAAUUCCUUGGCCAAUACACUCCAGGGGGAACACAGCCCAAAACGGGCCUGUGGCUGUGAUCAGACCCAGGCAUCCUGUCAAAACAGGAGCCUGGGAAGGGGAAGCUCAGGGAAGGAAAG